UGCAGCUACUUAGUUGCUCCUCCAGUUCUGCUAUCCGACACAGCAGCUUUGACCGCGACGUUCGAGAUCUCGUCUUUCACUGUAUGGCUGUGGCAAAUUUGUCUCGCCGCCACUGUCAGCAGAGGGCGGUGGGCCACUGUCGUCACAUCCUGCAGAUAUGGUCGGACAUGAGGAGGGUUCUAAAGUCCUCCGAGGAUCCUGACAAACACCAGCAGAACUUUGAGAACGACUGCACGUUACUGAGGCAGCAUAUGCACGCGCUCGACAGAGCGUUAACCACCGCCGUUCUUCAUCAGGUCUUGGACGCGUUUGGAACCGCCUCCUCGGCUGUUUCAGAGCUUUUGAAAGUGACGAGACAGAUCCUUGUGGGAGACGCGUCCACCCAAACAGAUCUGAACUUUGCCCAGCCCCUCCUUGAGGGUUUCACGUCGCGCGCCCAGAGAAUAACCCAAGUGGCACAUUUUGCCUCGGCUAUGGCCGCAGAUGCGCAGCGCGUGGAGUACGUGGAGAACUCGAGAACGUGCCUCAGCAGACUCGGAGCUCGAAUCGCAUCGCUCUCUCCAGAGCUAGCAGAUCACUCGACUGCUCAGAAACUUCAUGACGUCUGUCUGAAGUGGGAGGAGGAGACCAGCCAGCUUCUGGAUGCUGUCAUCGAUGUGGUGGACGUGAAGGAGUUCACCAGCAUCGCCAUCACUGAGAUGGUCAACGACCGGCUCGGCUGUGACGAAGCGUACCGUCAGCAAGGCCGCGAGGAGUUUGAUGAGCAGGCAGCGACUCUCCUCCGUCACAUGAGGAUGGCGGCUCAGUCUGUGAAGAGGCACCUGGGCAGAAGCGACGACCCCAUCUACAGGAACGGCCUCCUCGUUCUGCUGAAACAGGUUCAGUCCUCCCAAGACGAAGUCGCCCGGUCGGUCAGAGAGACGCUUUCUGGUUCCCGCCUCAAUGUGGAGGUUUACGCAACUUUUUCAGACAACGUUUCUGCUGCCAUGGAGCAUUUUAAAGUGCUCCGCAAAGGUCUGGACGGCCAACAGCAUCCGCAUCUCCUGAGCCCGUUGCGAGAGGUCGCACGCGAGACAACAAGCUCACAGAUGCGCCUCCCCGGUGACGACGCCUGUGACCACCUGAGGCGGCGCGUUGACUCUCCGGGUUCGGAGCUAGCGGCGAGGGAUUCCUUAGCUGGACAUGAGGAAGACCACUCAGACGAGGAAACCAUAGAAGCAGAAAUGGCUCAUAAAUCUGACAAAGAUGAUUUAGACCCCCCAGCUGUCUCCAGGGCGCCCACGCUGAUCCGCAGGUCCCUUGAGGUCGACCUUUUGCCUCUCGUGUAUGAUGUCGUGACUGUGACCAAAGCUAAGGAUGUGACAUUACUGAACCGGGCCUGCACCAGCGUCCUGGAGCUCUCAAACUGUUACGCUCAAUCUGCGAAAGAGGCCGCUUCCGUUGUCGGAGUAGCCGAUCGGCAAACGCUGGAAAGUUUCCGAGCGGAGCUGGUGUCCCUGACGCCGCUGCUGGUCCAGACGGCUCAGGAGACAGCGAUGAGCUCAGUGAUGAGCACAGGGAUGCUGUACAAACACAGCAUCCAUUUCUCUGACCUCAUUAAGAACGCCCGCGAGGUUUUACUGCCGACGGCUGGAAACUGGUAUCGCGCUGUUUACACUGAGCUGCGAGGCGCUCUGCCAGCAAUGACUGCGUCUGUUAGGAAGCAAAUAAAUGAAGUGAUGACUUUAUGCACUGAUACAGUCCAGCUCCUGACAUCAUCCGAUUUAACCUUAAAAAGUGAUCAAGAAAGAUUCAGCGUUUUGCACAACAAGCUGAGUAAAGCCCAGAACCAUACAAGGAACCUGGUGGAGUUUUCUACGUCGUCGGAGAAGCCGCUAAAUCAAUUAGAAGGCCUCUGCCUCCUCUGGGGUCUAUCUGUUCAAAUUGUGCUGAAUUCUGUUGACAGAAUUUUGGGAACAUCAGCGGAUCAAAUGGGCCCUCAGAAGCAGCUCUCGAUAUUGUCUGAGAACUCGCUUCGGAUCCAAGAGGCAGUCCGGUUAACCUGCCUAAAUUCCAGAAGCGCCUACAAAUCCAAACAGUUGACGGCAGACGAGGAGGAACUGAAAAGGCUCACCGACGACUACAUCAAAGCUGCCGAAGAGCUGGACGCCAUGCCCAACGUCUUGCGACUGGGAAAGUCCGAGUUUUUCCAGAGAAAUCUUUUAAUUAAGAUCAAAAUCCUUGUUGGCCAUUUAAGCAAAAUGAACAGAGAUUAUGAGACCGGCCUACAUAAUAUACUUAAGAUGGCUUAUUUUUCUGCCGCAACCAGCGAUGAGAACAACCCUGAAGACGCUGAGGGGAACCUCGAAGAGGCCGCACAAACGCUGUUUGAUCGUGUGGAACUUGCCUGCAAAAAGGUGGAGGACUCGUUACACUACAUCCGCGAUCCUCGUGUGCGUUGUAAUCUGAGGUCUAUCAACGACCAUCUCUCCUUUCAGAUCUCAGAUAUAAUCAGCAGGGCGAGGCUCAUGGCGGAGGCUCGGGAUAUUUGUGACACGCUCAGCCUGGAUGUGCUAAUACAGUGCUGGUCAGCCAAAGCUCAUUAUGUGCUGGAGGAAAUCAGGAGGCAGGAAGGGAUUCAUCAAGAGGCUAAAGAGCAAAUCAGGGCUGGUCUGCAAGGCAGAACACUCGGUUACGUGAGAGAUGCGUUGGCUCCAAACCCAUCUGGAGCUAAAAAACUUCCCUCCGGCGAGCAAUUCUGCCACAAAGUCAAUGGGAAAAAGACAGUAGACUCAAAUGUAAACCUGGCAGCUGAGGACAAAUGUGGACCUGAAAACACGAGAAAAGCUGAUGGCAGAGACAGGGCAGGGUGGCACAGAGAAGCUUUUUCACUUACUGACACCUCCAUCUUCUUGAGGCAAGAAAGUGACAGCUGGGAUCCUGAGGACAACAGAAUAGUUCAGGUGACCAGCAAGAUGGCCGACACAAUAUAUUACAUGACCCAGUACCUCAGGAAAAAAGGCCCAAUUCCGGUAAAGGCCACUAGAGGGCGGCUUAGUCUUGAUUUUUGCAGGCCCUAA
Long non-coding RNA from Takifugu rubripes (torafugu), 3059 nucleotides. The record is from Ensembl. NCBI's taxonomy places the organism in Eukaryota, Metazoa, Chordata, Actinopteri, Tetraodontiformes, Tetraodontidae.